GCCUUUCCAUUUCUUGAUAAAUGCUUCAGCUUUUUCAAGUUCUUCUUCUUCUAGUAGAAUUUUCGGAGGUUGUGCAUCAGUAAUAUCUUCAGUAUUUGUUUCUGUACUAUUCAUUGAUACGUCUGAAUUUUGCUCAACAGUUUGCAGUAAUUUAUCCCUGACCUCUGAUAAAUAUUCUUCGAUCAUUUGCAUUUUAUUGCCGCCAUGUGCAGAUAUUCUUCGGGAAACAUAGUUAAGACUUUUUUCUUCGACCAAAAUUGAUUUUUUGGGAGUUUUUUCAUAUUCAGC
This 288-nucleotide long non-coding RNA is filed under the name Capsicum annuum. RNAcentral describes it as "long non-coding RNA (CANN_LNC001917)". The record is from RNAcentral. Lineage: Eukaryota; Viridiplantae; Streptophyta; Magnoliopsida; Solanales; Solanaceae.